Molecule: long non-coding RNA, 1046 nt
Organism: Etheostoma spectabile (orangethroat darter)
Lineage: Eukaryota; Metazoa; Chordata; Actinopteri; Perciformes; Percidae
Exons: 3
Source: RefSeq, a predicted model, not a curated record
AUAAUCAGGAAACUUCAGAAAGCUGCCAAUGAAGAACAGAAUCCACAACAGCCUGAGAACCGGGCACCUGAAGAGGUGAACUACGCAGCUGUGGCUUUCCGUCCAAAAACAAGAAGAACAAGAGAAGUUGAGCCCAAUGUUGUGUAUGCUUCUACUAGAUAGACCCAGGAUUACACCAGAUAAGCGGUUCCGACUAAAACUGAUGCUUUAUCAUAUUAAUCUGCAGAUGGUGGACAGGAGGACUGACCAUCACUGUCAAAAUAAGGACAAAAAUGCAACCUUCUUCCUAGUGCCCAGUUUGAAUUUGAAUCUCUUUUAAAGAUGUAAUUAGUGCACAUCAACAUGGAGAGAAGAUUUUGUAAAUAGCAGUGUGUCUAUUCUGGUAUAGGGAAUACAAUUCAAGAGAUACAGCAGCAAUCUAGUAUUACAUUUGACUGAAAUAUGAAUUACUCUUUCUUCUUUUCCUUCACUACUUGUUUCUGUUACACUCUGACACUGUGUUUCACGGUAGUUCCACUUCCCCUUGUUCACUUCCCCUCAGAUAGUACAAAGCAGCAUAAGACGCAGGGAGGCUGUUUCUGUUGAUGCCAUGCACCUCAUUGGAGAGUACUGCUUGCUGCAUUACUUGUAAGAAAGGUGCUAUAAUAUUACGUGACCCGGUGUUGGCUGUAUUUGGAGUACUCUGUAGCAAAAUUCAGAACCCUUCUAGCGCCCAUGUUAAUUCUAUUAAUCUGGAAACAGACACCACCUCCUCCCACUUCCAGCAUGUUGAUCAAAGACGUCAUGCAGCACCUAAAACUGGGAUACUCAGAUAUACAUCGUGUGGUUCCGUUGAAACGUUUUAUAGAACUUGGCAAUGCACAGCCCCGUGGCUCCUACCUUAACUCUUAGCUCUGAUAACUACCUGAGGUGUGUUGUCAAUAAGUAUUUAGAGCAGGUUUGUACUCUGAUUAUUAUUUUCUAAUCUGAUUAUCUACCAUACAGGACUUAUUGUGUUUGUGUCUGUGUAAGUAAAUGUUUUGUAAAACUAUUUCUGUAAUAUUAUA